Molecule: long non-coding RNA, 326 nt
Organism: Lutra lutra (Eurasian river otter)
Lineage: Eukaryota; Metazoa; Chordata; Mammalia; Carnivora; Mustelidae
Exons: 2
Source: RefSeq, a predicted model, not a curated record
CCAGCAACCCUUUUCUCAGUCGCCAUCUUCUUUUCUUCUCCUUCUCGCUAUUUGGGGAAACCCCUGUCUGAGAAAGGAAGAUUCCAAGUCGCCGGCAGCGCGGACCGCGGGCAGCAAGGCGCGGAGGAAGCCGGCGGAACUUGGCGCCGGGCGCGGCCGGGCUCAGAACGGCCGGGGAUGCGGCCACACUAGCCGGGUAACCUUGCCCCGCUCGGGAUCCCGUUCUCAGGGAUCAUCCACUCCUCCCCCACAAUUCAAAAUUUUUAUUUGGAUCGCUGUGUUAAUUUAGAAUGAGAUAAAUGGAAGUAAAAUAAGUUGAAAUAAAA